AAAAGGUUUUAUUUUGGCUUAUUAGUUAGGUAAAGUUCUGAUUUACAUGUAAGUCUUAGUGAAAAUUCUAAUAUUAAUUUUAAAAGUUAAUAUAAAAAUUUUGAUCGCAGUAAAAAAUAUUAAAAAUUAAGGUAACUUAGAUUUAGCAAUAAUAUUAAAUAUUAACAAAAUUUGUGCCAGCAGUUGCGGUUAUACAAAUAAUAUAAUUUAAUUAUUUUGGUGAAAGUUAAUUUUAUUAGUAAAAUUAUUAAAUUUAAAUUUAUUAAGUGAAAUUUUAAAUUUAAUUUAAAAUUUAUUAUUUGUUAAUGAAGCUUGGAAAUUUAAUUUAUAAACUAGGAUUAGAUACCCUAUUAUUUUAAAUGUAAAUUUUAUAUACUGAAUUAGUAUUAGUUAUGUUCUUGAAAAUUAAAAAAUUUGGCGGUAUUUUAGUCUUUUCAGAGGAACCUGUCCUGUAAUCGAUAGUCCACGAUAUAGGGUACUUUAUUUAUUAGUUUACAUAUCGUCGUAGAUAGAAUAUUUUAAAAGAAUAAUAAUAUUCUAGAUUUUUAAUUAAAAAAUAAAUCAGAUCAAGGUGUAGUUUAUAAUAAAGGAGAGAUGGGUUACAUUAAAUUUAUUUAAGGAUAAUUUUUAGGAUAAAAAUUUGAAUGUGGAUUUGAAAGUAAUUUUAUUAAAUUAAGUAAGAUGAUUUUAGCUCUAAAAUAUGCACAUAUCGCCCGUCACUUUCACUUUAAAGUGAAAUAAGUCGUAACAAAGUAGGCUUACUGGAAAGUGAGCCUAGAAAGAC
RNAcentral lists this non-coding RNA (784 nucleotides) under Bruchus sp. EMHAU-15071302. Lineage: Eukaryota; Metazoa; Arthropoda; Insecta; Coleoptera; Chrysomelidae. The record is from RNAcentral.